This 442-nucleotide ribosomal RNA is filed under the name uncultured bacterium. RNAcentral's name for it is "partial 16S ribosomal RNA". It matches the Rfam family "Bacterial small subunit ribosomal RNA", at positions 338 to 795 of the family's 1533-position model. The record is from RNAcentral.
CCUACGGGUGGCAGCAGUGGGGAAUAUUGGGCAAUGGGCGCAAGCCUGACCCAGCAACGCCGCGUGAAGGAAGAAGGCUUUCGGGUUGUAAACUUCUUUUGUCAGGGAAGAGUAGAAGACGGUACCUGACGAAUAAGCCAUGGCUAACUACGUGCCAGCAGCAGCGGUAAUACGUAGGUGGCAAGCGUUGUCCGGAUUUACUGGGUGUAAAGGGCGUGUAGGCGGGUUGGCAAGUCAUUUGUGAAAUCCUGGGGCCUAAACGCAGGACUGCAUUGGAAACUGGUGAUCUUGAGUAUUGGAGAGGCAGGCGGAAUUCCAAGUGUAGCGGUGAAAUGCGUAGAUAUAAGGAAGAACACCAGAGGCGAAGGCAGUCUGCUGGACAGCAACUGACGGUGAGGGGCGAAAGCGUGGGGAGCAAACAGGAUUAGAUACCCGAGUAGUC